UACGGGGGGAGCAAGCGUUGUUCGGAUUUACUGGGCGUAAAGGGCGCGUAGGUGGCCAACUAAGUCGGACGUGAAAUCCCUCAGCUUAACUGGGGAACUGCGUCCGAUACUGGAUGGCUUGAGUUUGGGAGAGGGAUGCGGAAUUCCAGGUGUAGCGGUGAAAUGCGUAGAUAUCUGGAGGAAUACCGGUGGCGAAGGCGGCAUCCUGGACCGACAUUGACGCUGAGGAGCGAAAGCCAGGGGAGCAAACGGG
Molecule: ribosomal RNA, 253 nt
Filed under: uncultured bacterium
Lineage: Bacteria
Description: partial 16S ribosomal RNA
Rfam family: Bacterial small subunit ribosomal RNA
Source: RNAcentral